RNAcentral lists this unclassified non-coding RNA (302 nucleotides) under fungal sp. RNAcentral's name for it is "partial contains 5.8S ribosomal RNA, internal transcribed spacer 2, and large subunit ribosomal RNA". The stretch from base 1 to 105 matches the Rfam family "5.8S ribosomal RNA", at positions 50 to 154 of the family's 154-position model. The record is from RNAcentral. Lineage: Eukaryota; Fungi. RNAcentral also lists the same sequence under 2 other names.
GAAAUGCGAUAAGUAAUGUGAAUUGCAGAAUUCAGUGAAUCAUCGAAUCUUUGAACGCACAUUGCGCCCCUUGGUAUUCCGGGGGGCAUGCCUGUUCGAGCGUCAUUUCAACCCUCAAGCUCUGCUUGGUAUUGGGCACCGUCCUUUGCGGGCGCGCCUCAAAGACCUCGGCGGUGGCGUCUUGCCUCAAGCGUAGUAGAAUACACCUCGCUUCGGAGCGUAAGGCGUCGCCCGCCGGACGAACCUUCUGAACUUUUCUCAAGGUUGACCUCGGAUCAGGUAGGGAUACCCGCUGAACUUAA